Long non-coding RNA from Drosophila gunungcola (fruit fly), 707 nucleotides. RefSeq lists it as uncharacterized. NCBI's taxonomy places the organism in Eukaryota, Metazoa, Arthropoda, Insecta, Diptera, Drosophilidae. The transcript has 3 exons. The record is from RefSeq and is a predicted model, not a curated record.
AACAGCUGAGCGCCUUGGCCGCACUUUCAAAUAAGAGAGCGCAUCGUCUAAUUAGUAUUCGUUUGUAUCGUAGUGUUUUUUUUUUUGCUUACACAAAUGAUUCGCCCACACACAAGUUGAGUUUGGCGCAGAAAUGUUUGCUGCGGUUUUAUCGUAAUUGCGCUAACUAGAAUCACAAUUGGGCCAAUUGUUGCGGUUUUUGAUUCGUUUUAAGCAGCCGCUGCUAAUAGAACUACAGUAAAAAUCGGAUGUAGCAAAUAUGAACGCCAGCUAAAUAUUAUUGCUUCCAACAUGUUCGAUAACCUCCACAAGGACGAAUCGCUUUCAAAGUAGCAUCUCGGAUCAAUAGUGAAUUUCCCGUGAAUUUACCAAAUAUAACAGUAAAUGACGAUGUAGCUUGUCGCAUAACAUAUUAUCAUUAAAUCGUAUCCGUAUCUCGGACGGGCAUUCAAUUGGGCGGGAUUCAUCCAUCCAAGCGCAUUACGCGCAUUCGUUCCGCAUUUCUCCUGCUGCCAUCUAGUACCCAUAACCCCCCUCCGCAAACGUCCUUGGUGCUGGCCCCCUCAUUCAAUCAAAAGCGACUCAACAGAUUGCCUGUCGUUUGCCUGCCAUUGGAGCUGAAGCAAUUCCAAUUCAAUUUUAGCUGUGAUGACGAAGCCGGCGACAACGCUUGCUCCAACAGGGAUUUUCGCAUUUUUUUUGUAAAA